Molecule: ribosomal RNA, 198 nt
Filed under: uncultured bacterium
Lineage: Bacteria
Description: partial 16S ribosomal RNA
Rfam family: Bacterial small subunit ribosomal RNA
Source: RNAcentral
ACGCUCGACACCUACGGGAGGCAGCAGUGGGGAAUAUUGCACAAUGGGGGAAACCCUGAUGCAGCGACGCCGCGUGAGCGAAGAAGUAUUUCGGUAUGUAAAGCUCUAUCAGCAGGGAAGAAACUGACGGUACCUGACCAAGAAGCACCGGCUAAAUACGUGUCAGCAGCCGCGGUAAUCUGAGCGGGCUGGCAAGGC